Molecule: long non-coding RNA, 3284 nt
Organism: Herpailurus yagouaroundi (jaguarundi)
Lineage: Eukaryota; Metazoa; Chordata; Mammalia; Carnivora; Felidae
Exons: 3
Source: RefSeq, a predicted model, not a curated record
AGGAAGAAAAAGACCUUCAGAGGAAACACACCAACAGAACAGCUGUGUGUGUCGUUUUCUCGAGGAGUGACCGUCUAGCUCACUGCAGCUGGAUGACCCAGAGGUGGCCCAGACCUCCCCUCCACGCCCCCUGCCCCAUCCUCACCUCCAGGCUGCCUGACCCACACUCCUUGUGGUCUGGAGUUAAAGGGAGGAAUAAAUGAUAUUUUAUACAAGCCCUACCUUUGGGAUCCUCUUUGGAGAAAUAUAUUGGGAGCAAUAAUAUUUUACGGUGCAGGCGAAAUUAAGGUGCUCAGCCUCAAAUAUGUGAAAAACGAGUUGAGAGCGCUGAGUGUGGUGUAAGGCGUAAGUGGAUGAUACUCAGUAGCCGUGCUCCCACGCCAACUGAUUAGACUGCUUGAGGAUGAAUCGUAUGAAUUACUCAUUCUUGGGAUGCACCAAGAUGCAUCUUGAUUCACAUUCAGCCAAGAAAACCAGUCAAUACCACGGAGCAUCAACACCAAGGAACAGUUGACUAGCACUUGCCCUGAGAUAUCCUCAAGCACAGGUCUGAUGGUCCAACAUCUGUGUCCCACCCCUUGGAGACGAGACUGCAGUCUGAAAGGCCCGCACCUGCUCGGCCUAACCCAUGUGCCUAAGCCUUCCUCAGCGUCACCAGCUUGUCCACAGAGAGUCGGCCCCACUCGUGGUCACACAAGCCAACGGAGCACACUCCCAGCAGACGGCUGCCCUUCCCCCACCUGAGGCCGAAAGCAGAGAAAGAUCCACAGCCAGCACUUUCUGACUCCAGAUACCUGCCAGCGGGACCAGCAUCUGGACCAAGAAAGCCCAGCAUGAUUGGACUUGGGACAACGUCAUGCGGAUGAAGUCUUUGUCCGGUCAUGGGUUGCCUGGAAGUCCUCUGGGGGCCUGGAGGAUGGCCACCCGGUCCCUGCCAGCUGCUCCUCUGCCCACGGAGGUCCGUGGCCCAUGCUUGCCACUAAAGCUGGUCCACGUACCCCAGAAAUGUAAAUUCUCCCCCUGAUUGCUAAGGAAGUGAGGGCAGGGGUGAUUUUCAGAAAUGGGUAUUUUUGUUGCUCUUUGAUAUUCAUUAUCAAAAAUUGUCUGAAAGAGCCUAAAAGCCAGUGAUUAGUCAAGGACAAGGGGCAUCAGACGGGCAAACAAACUAUAAGCCACUGACCUCUUCGUGGUGCCCACUGUGAGGGGCUCUGGCCCGAGAGCUUGGUUUCCUCUGCUGCCCAGCACGUCGGCAUCACUUACAAGCAUAGACAACAUCUCCAAAGUGUAUGCCAAGGAGCUGGACCCAACUUUCUCGGUGUUUCCACGUGUGUUCAUGCUGCUGGUGAAGCUGCCCCAAUCGAGCGAUGCAUAGAUUCGUGGUAGAAAUGCAGAGAGGGGGCAAAUGAGCUGCACCAGAAGCAAGACGCGAGGAAGGAGGCCUACAGAAUGCUGACCUUGGAGACAUCCAGGCAGACCCUCGUACGGAUGGCCUCUCACUGGCCAUUCACAGUGCAUGGCAGGACACCAUUUACGUUUUUAGAUUAUGAAUUGUUUGGAGUGUGCCAGGCAUAAGAGAACAAGCUCGCACCAUGCACCUGCCCUCUGGCGGGCCCUCCCACACAUGUGUGUAAAAUGGUGGAGGGAGAAGGCGAAGCGAGACCUGAGACAGCACAGUCACCUGUGAGCUCAGGUGUGGGCUGGCGGGUGUGGCCUGGCAGGUGUGGGCUGACAGGGCCUCUCAGGACAAACCUGGAAGUGAAGUUUGUCUCAAAGAUCACAGCUCUCCCCCCACCACUGCAUUGUAACCUGGCCAGUAUAAUGAGACCUGUCACACUCUACCCGAGUGAGAAUACAUUUCCAUGGGGUGUGAUGAAAAGGUCUUUUACAAGCACAGGAUGGCAGGAGCCAAACAUUUGCUAACAAGAAGCAACCUCCUCCAGCAGAAGGGGGGAGGCCUGUGUCUGUGGCCACACCUAAUAUUAAUGAAAGGAUAAUGGAGCAUACGUGUAUAUAAUGUUCUCAACGAGCACAUGUCUGCAGGUUCUUUUGAAUUUGGAGGGAUGGACAGAUGUCAAAUAUUGAUUCCAGUUGAUUAAAAGGCACUGAGCCUUUGCGUUAUAUUGCAGAGGUCCCCAUAUUCCAGACCUCACCAUUUGUCUUUCUGAAGGAAGACUAUGAAUCCUAAACCUUAAUCUGCUUUCAGACAACAAACAUGAUCAAUGCCCCAAAUACUCCACUGUUAUUCUUCCAGAGCUUUCUGCACGCUCGGCAUUGCUUACGUACCAUGGGGAAUCUAAGAUGAAAUUGAAGGUACGUACGGAUGUCCCUUCUACUGCCAGGUGAGCUCUUCGGGGAAAGCUUACAGAGCUGUGGUCGAGGCACCAGACAGCCCAACUUAACUUACUCCACAGCGCUGGUGAGAAAACUCCCCGUUGGACAUGAAGGAGGGCCUUGAUGGGCACGUGGCACCUGGGCAAUAUAGAGGUUUGUCUCUCCCCUCAUCCGUCUGGGUGUAGCCGGGUCUAAGUGACGUGACCUACAAGAAUUAGCUUGGAGAACGAUGUCUCUCUGCCUCUGACUUAGGCUGCAUGUGGGAAACAAAAGAAAGGAGUGAUUGGCAGACAGCCUUGGGGGCCCAAGACACCGUAGAGAGAGAGAGAGAGAGAGAGAGAGCCCUCCUCCCUUUCCCUAUCCGUAGAUGCCCUGGACCUUGUUAAAAAUAAGAUGAAGAGGUCAGAGUGGGCACAGCCUCAGUCCCAGAGCCUCUAACACUGGGAGUUCCGAGGGCUACCCUACCUCAGCUCCAUGGCCAUAGGCUUCUAGGGAGGACACAGAGAUAGUUUGCUACACCAAUAACCCAGCAGCUGAAGAAAUUAUCUUUAGCAGGUUGAUGACUUCAUGGAAGGGGGUGGAUACCACACAGGGGUGGAAAGAGACAGCCAAGUCAAAUGGAAUGUCAGGAAUUCUACAUGGAAAGCUGGGAAGUGUAUGGACCCAAUGCAGUCACAUGCCAGCUAUGCAAAUUUAGGCAAACUAUUUGAGUCCUCAAAGCUUUAAUUCCCAUUUUUUGUAAUAACUACAUUGCAAAGGUAUGAAGAAUUUUGAUAAACUAUGUGAGGUGCUUAGUAUAGUGCCUGGCUCCGAAAGGCACCCGAUACAUGGUAGCCAAUCACUGUAACCUCUCAAUUGAUGUACGUUCAAUUCAGUGAGUUCUUAUUGGUCUUCAUGGAAUUCCUGAACUAUAGGUAGGAUAUGUUUAUCAUAAUCCUAUAUUAGAAAUCUGU